VAACCAACAGGGAUUGCCUUAGUAGCGGCGAGUGAAGCGGCAAGAGCUCAAAUUUGAAAUCUGGUACCUUCGGUGCCCGAGUUGUAAUUUGAAGAAAGCUAUCUUGGAUUUGGCCUUUGUCUAUGUUCCUUGGAACAGGACGUCACAGAGGGUGAGAAUCCCGUGCGAUGAGGUGUCCAUUUCUAUGUAAGAUGUUUUCGAAGAGUCGAGUUGUUUGGGAAUGCAGCUCUAAGUGGGUGGUAAAUUCCAUCUAAAGCUAAAUAUUGGCGAGAGACCGAUAGCGAACAAGUACAGUGAUGGAAAGAUGAAAAGAACUUUGAAAAGAGAGUGAAAAAGUACGUGAAAUUGUUGAAAGGGAAGGGUAUUAGAUCAGACUUGGUAUUUAGUUAUCAUUACUCCUUGUGGGUGGUGCUCUAGCUUUUUACUGGGCCAGCAUCAGUUUUGGUGACAGGAUAAUAGCAAUUGAAUGUGGCUCCUCGGAGUGUUAUAGCUUUUGUUGAUACUGUCUACUGGGACUGAGGUCUGCGGCUUUGCCUAGGAUGCUGGCGUAAUGAUCCAAUACCGC
This 565-nucleotide ribosomal RNA is filed under the name Ogataea sonorensis. RNAcentral's name for it is "eukaryotic LSU rRNA". It matches the Rfam family "Eukaryotic large subunit ribosomal RNA", at positions 62 to 648 of the family's 3401-position model. The record is from RNAcentral. Lineage: Eukaryota; Fungi; Ascomycota; Pichiomycetes; Pichiales; Pichiaceae.